GUCCUGAGUGCGUGCCUGUCAGUCAAAGAGUGGCACUAUGGCCGCCACGAAGCUACACUCGGCGGAGCGUGUCGAGGGCGGCGCUCCGGUCGAGCAUGACACCGACGUCGACGGCCAAAGCGAGGCGGAAACUGGGAAAGCAGACAGCCGUCCAGAGAAGAAAACUGUCCAACCGAAGGCGGAGGCCGGCGGGGCUCCGGAGCAGGCCGCUAGCCAGGCGCCCACCGACGUGGAGGUCUCAGUCCCCGGCCAGGGUACCAUAGUGGAGGUGUCGGACCCCGGCCUGGGUACCAGAGUGGAGGUGUCAGACCCCGGCCUGGGUACCAGAGUGGAGGUGUCAGCCCCCGGCCUGGGUACCAGAGUGGAGGUGUCAGACCCCGGCCUGGGUACCAUAGUGGAGGUGUCAGACCCCGGCCUGGGUACCAGAGUGGAGGUGUCGGACCCCGGCCUGGGUACCAGAGUGGAGGUGUCAGACCCCGGCCUGGGUACCAGAGUGGAGGUGUCAGCCCCCGGCCUGGGUACCAGAGUGGAGGUGUCAGACCCCGGCCUGGGUACCAGAGUGGAGGUGUCAGCCCCCGGCCUGGGUACCAGAGUGGAGGUGUCAGACCCCGGCCUGGGUACCAGAGUGGAGGUGUCAGACCCCGGCCUGGGUACCAGAGUGGAGGUGUCAGCCCCCGGCCAGAGUACCAGAGUGCCGGCCUCGGUGCAGUCACAGCCGCGGCAAGACAGCGACCCUGGUGAUGGCCACACGGCGAGAGACAGCAAAGAGGAGAGCGGGUGUUUGGCUUUGGUCUGCGACAAAAGCAAAGCGAGUGUCGAAGACGACAAAGUGAAGAGCGGGGAUGGAGACACGAGGCGACCCAGCCUGGAGGUCUCAUCCUCGGAUGGAGAACCGCUGAGCCGCGUGGACUCCGAAGACAGUAUAAGCAGCACCCUGAUGGAGAUGGACAGCACGGUGUCCAGUGGCCGCUCCACCCCAGCUAUGAUGAACGGACUGGGCAGUGCCAGCUCCUCCGCUACAAAGACUGUGGCCUACUCUUGUUCUUGGGAUCUUUGUCUUCAGUACUUCAACUCCAGUCCGGAUCUUGCCGAGCACAUCAGGAGCAUCCAUGUGGAUGGACAAAGAGGAGGGGUGUUUGUGUGUCUUUGGAAAGGUUGCAAGGUGUACAAUACUCCAUCCACCAGUCAGAGUUGGCUCCAGAGACACAUGCUGACCCACAGUGGAGAUAAACCCUUUAAGUGCGUUGUUGGUGGCUGCACUGCAAGUUUCGCCUCCCAAGGAGGGCUGGCUCGCCACGUUCCCAGUCAUUUCAGCCAACAAAGCUCUUCUAAAAUGUCCAGCCAGGCAAAACUCAAGGAGGAGUUGCCCUCCAAGGCUGGUCUCAACAAGAGGAAGAAACUCAAAAACAAACGCAGGUGCUCUCUACCAAGGCCCCAUGACUUCUUUGAUGCACAAACCAUGGACGCUAUCCGUCACAGAGCCAUCUGUCUCAACCUUGCGACUCACAUUGAAAGCGUGGGCAACGGCCACAGUGUGGUCUUUAACAGCACGGUGCUAGCCAAGAGGAAGGAGGGCUCAGGAAAGGUCAACGUCCUCUUGCACUGGACCCCUGAAGACAUCCUGCCUGACGUGUGGGUGAAUGAAACGGAGCGAUGUCAGCUGAAGACUAAAGUGGUGCACUUAUCCCAGCUACCGCAGGACACCGCCAUGCUGCUGGACCCAAAUAUAUACAGAGCACUUUCACAGAAGAGACUGAAGCAGAGCCUUUAAGGAGCCGUUUCUGGACUUUUUUUAAUUUUUUUUAUUCCUUGCCCUCAGAAGUUUUGUUGUCAUGUGAAAAACUUUUUAGGGGACUAUUUAAAGCUGUGGACGGGAAACAAUAUCAACACUUUGUUCUCAUCAAGAACGAGGAACCUCUACAACAUGGAUUUUAAAACAGGAAUAUUUAGAUGCCCUAUGAAGCAAUAAUUCUGCUGAUGAAAUACCGGGCAGCUUGCAUACGCCUCUUUUCAAAUCAUCCUUGGCAAUCUGUGUGGUUUGCAUGUCUACCCCACCUCAAAGUUCCUGAAAGUGAUAUAUUCCAAACACCCACAAAAAGAGCUUCGGAUUCUGCAACGACCCCGCUUGUCACGAGGUACUUUUCCAGGGAGUUUGGGAUCAAGGGAAAGUUAUUAUAAUUUUUUUUUACUUGGGUAAAAUGGGAGGAAAUGUGCCUCGGUGUUUCAAAAUUCCAGGUAAAUGAGAAAAGUUUGUGCUCCGAAAAAGGGGAAUAGACCUCAGAAAAGCUGGUGUUCGCUCUUUGCAUUGUGGGCUGAGGUCUGAAUGUUUGUUGUUUACAUUGCUGAGUUGGGCAAGCAAUAAUAAAAUGGACCAUGUAAAAAAACCAAGGAACCAUACCAAAGCUACCCUAUUUUUCGGAUUAUAAAUCACUCUGGAGUAUAAAUCGCACCGGCCAAAAAUGCAAAAUAAAGAAGGAAAAAAGCAUAUAUACGUCGCACUGGAGUAUAAGUCACAUUUUUGGGGGAAAUUUCUUUGAUAAAACCCAACACCAAGAAUAGACAUUUGAAAGGCAAUUUAAAAUAAAUAAAGAAUAAUGAACAACAGGCUGAAUAAGUGUAGGUUAUAUGAGGCAGAAAUAACCAACUGCUAUGUUAACCUAACAUAUUAUGGUAAGAGUCGUUCAAAUAACUAUAACAUAAUAGGGGUGUUACGGUACACAAAUAUUUUGGUUCGGUACAUACCUCGGUUUAGAGGUCAUGGUUCGGUUCAUUUUCGGUACAGUAAGAAAACAACAAAAUAUAAUUUCUUGGGUUAUUUGUUCACCAAAUUUGCAAAAUCUUCCACCAAAAAUAUUUUUCUUAGUGGAAUAUUUGAUUUGAAGUAAUGGGAACUUUGGAUAGGUCAAUAAUUCAUAAAAACAUUGAUUUUGAUUCAAUAUUAUGUUUUGAGCAAUGACAGUUUGAAAGGAAAAAACAGCUUUGUUUUAUUAGUCAACAUUGCAACUUUUUUUUAAUUACUUUUAACCUUCAAGCUUUUUUAUUUCACUUUUGUUAUGUUUUUGUUUAUUUUAAUAGUAUUUUUAGAAUAUGCCGUGGGCCUUUAAAACAUUAGCUGUGGGCCGCAAAUGGCCUCCAGGGCACACUUUUGACACCCCUGCUAUAGAUAAUAAAACAUUAAAGGGGAACAUUAUCACUAUUUCAAAAGGGUUAAGAACAAUUAAAAUCAGUUCCCAGUGGCAUGUUGUAUUUUUUGAAGUUUUUUUCAAAAUUUUACCGGUCUCCGAAUUUCCCUAAAAAAAGCUUUAAAGUGCUUGAUUUUUGCUAUUUGCGAUGCCACUAUCCAUUUCCAUGUGACGUCAUACAGUGCUGCCAAUGUAAACAAACAAUGGCGAAUACCACAGCAAGAUAUAGCGACAAUAGCUCGGAUUCAGACUCGGAUUUCAGUGGCUUAAGCGAUUCAACAGAUUACGCAUGUAUUGAAACGGAUGGUUGGAGUAUGAAAGUAUUGAAGAAGAAACUGAAGCUAUUGAGCGAAUAGCUAUUGACGCUAUUUAUAGCCAUAGCAUGGCCGAAUAGCUGCGUUAGCAUCGCCGGUAAAAUGUGCGGACCAAACGAUCAGGACUUUCGCAUCUUGUGACACUGGAGCAACUUAAAUCCGUCGAUUGGUAAGUGUUUUUUUCGCAUUAAAUGUGGGUGGAAGGAAACGUAAUAUAGUUGCAAAUGCAUCUACAGGUUAUCCAUACAUCUCUGUGCCAUGUCUGCUUUAACACCACCGGUAAAUAGCAUGUUAGCAUCGAUUCGCGUAGCAUGUUAGCAUCGAUUAGCUGGCAGUCAACAUCAACAAAACUCACCUUUGUGAUUUCUGUGACUUUAUCGUUACAAAUGCAUCUGCAGGUUAUCCAUACAUCUCUGUGCCAUGUCUGCUUUAGCACCGCCGGUAAAAAGCAGGUUAGCACCGAUUAGCUCGCAGUCACGCCGCGACAAAAUAUGUCUGAUUAGCACAUAAGUCAACAUCAACAAAACUCACCUUUGUGAUUUCGUUGACUUUAUCAUUGCUAAUGCAUCUGCAGGUUAUCCAUACAUCUGUGUCUUGUCUGUCAUCGCCGGUAAAAUGUGGAGACACUCCAGCACAUUCAAUGGGUGUCUGGCGGCAGACACUUUCGCAUCUUCGGGCCAGUGGUGCAACUUGAAUCCCUCCCUGUUAGUGUUGUUACACCCUCCGACAAUACACCAACGAGGCAUGAUGUCUCCAAGGUUCCAAAAAAUAGUCGAAAAAACGUAAAAUAACAGAGCUGAGACCCAAUGUUUACAAAGGGUUGAAAAUGAAAAUGGCGGCUGUAUUACCUCGGCGACGUUACAUUCUGACGUCAUCGCCUCCAGAGCGAUAAACAGAAAGGCGUUUAAUUCGCCAAAAUUCACCCAUUUAAAGUUUGGAAAUCGGUUAAAAAACUAUAUGGUCUUUCUUCUGCACCAUCAAGGUAUAUAUUGACGCUUACAUAGGUCUGGUGAUAAUGUUCCCCUUUAAAUCUGAUAAAUCAAUGGAUAAAAAGCAGAGCCUGGAGACACAUGCGCGUUUAUCAUAACUCUCUCGCUCUCUCUGUCUCUGUCCUCCCUCACCAAUGCAGUUGCGUGCACAAUGUGUUUGGUUUUUAACACCUUCUUAACCCUGAACGUACAUUGUUAAUAUACGCAACCAUAACUUAAAAUGCCGGACAUUUGAGGCAUUUAAAAAACUCUGCCCUGACAGCCCCGCAA
Nerophis ophidion (straightnose pipefish) is the source of this 4755-nucleotide RNA transcript. It is a transcript of the gene named zinc finger protein AEBP2-like, with no coding region annotated. NCBI's taxonomy places the organism in Eukaryota, Metazoa, Chordata, Actinopteri, Syngnathiformes, Syngnathidae. The transcript has 10 exons. The record is from RefSeq and is a predicted model, not a curated record.